AAAAAAAUCUAUGUUGGAAAUUUAACGAAUAGAUAAAUUUUUUAUGGUUUAAAAAAUUUAUUUUAAAUUUAUUUUACAUAUAAAUUUUAGUGUUAAUUAUUAAUUAUUUAAAUAAUAUUUAAUUUUUUUUGUAGUAAUUAAUUUUAAAAAUUUAAGAAAUUAAGAUUUAGUAAUAUUAAAAUUUAAUAACUAAUUUUGUGCCAGCAGUUGCGGUUAUACAAAAGUUAAUAUAAAUUUUUUUUUAGUUAUUAAUAAAUAAAUUAUAAUAAUAAUUUAAAUUUUAAGUUUUAAGGUGAAAUUUUAAUUUAAUAAAAAAUUAUUUGAUAUUUGUGAUUUAAUAAAUUUUAUAAAAAACUAGGAUUAGAUACCCUAUUAUUAAAAUUUAAAUUAAUAAUACUUAAAUAGUAUAUAAUUAUUUAUUGAAACUUAAAUAAUUUGGCGGUAUUUUAGUUCAUUUAGAGGAAUCUGUUUAAUAAUUGAUAAUCCACGAAUAAAUUUACUUAAUUUAUUAUUUUGUAUAUCGUUGUUAAAAAAAUAUUUUUUAAUAAUAUUAAUAUUUAAAAAUUUUUAAUAUAAAUUAAAUCAGAUCAAGAUGCAGAUUAUAAUUAAGAAUAUAAUGGAUUACAAUAAAUUUAUUUAGUUGAAUUUUAAUGUGAAAAAAUUAAAUGAAAUUGGAUUUAAAUGUAAUUUUAUUUAAAUUUUUAAAAUGAUUAAAUAUUAAAAUAUGUACAUAUUGCCCGUCGCUUUCAUUUAUAAGUUGAAAUAAGUCGUAACAAAGUAGAGGUACUGGAAAGUGUUUCUAGAAAGAU
RNAcentral lists this non-coding RNA (809 nucleotides) under Ambulyx schauffelbergeri. The record is from RNAcentral. Lineage: Eukaryota; Metazoa; Arthropoda; Insecta; Lepidoptera; Sphingidae.